This 271-nucleotide unclassified non-coding RNA is filed under the name Hevea brasiliensis (rubber tree). Lineage: Eukaryota; Viridiplantae; Streptophyta; Magnoliopsida; Malpighiales; Euphorbiaceae. The record is from RNAcentral.
GGCAACGCAUCAGAUAUUCACACAUCAAUAAUAUUGCUGGGGUCAUGACAACAUGACGUAAGUCAGAGCAUGGAAAAAUCAUUGACCACAACCUCAAGAGACACAAUGUUUUCAUGGAAGGCCAACAACCAUUCUCUGAAUUCUUAAGAGAUUCACAAAAUUGUGUUCGAGUAUGCAAGAUCCGCUGACGAGCACAUAUUGCAGAAAAGUAUGGAAUCUCCAUGCUCAUCUCUAUCAGUGGCUUAACCAGAAAAUUUAACAACUCAAAGUU